This 328-nucleotide ribosomal RNA is filed under the name uncultured eukaryote. Its description in RNAcentral is "partial 18S ribosomal RNA". It matches the Rfam family "Eukaryotic small subunit ribosomal RNA", at positions 1470 to 1796 of the family's 1831-position model. The record is from RNAcentral.
CCCUUAGAUGUUCUGGGCUGCACGCGCGCUACACUGAUGCGCUCAACGAGUUUUAACCUUGCCUGGAAAGGUUGGGUAAUCUUUUUAAAACGCAUCUUGAUGGGGAUAGAUUAUUGCAAUUAUUAAUCUUCAACGAGGAAUUCCUAGUAAGCGCGAGUCAUCAGCUCGUGCUGAUUACGUCCCUGCCCUUUGUACACACCGCCCGUCGCACCUACCGAUUGAAUGACUCGGUGAAAAAUUGGGACUGUGAUUGAAAUUGCUUCAUUGCGAAUUUAAUUAUGGAAACUUUCUUUAACCUAGGCAUUUAGAGGAAGGAGAAGUCGUAACA